RNAcentral lists this long non-coding RNA (1140 nucleotides) under Camelus dromedarius (Arabian camel). RNAcentral describes it as "lncRNA (ENSCDRG00005020485.1)". The record is from RNAcentral. Lineage: Eukaryota; Metazoa; Chordata; Mammalia; Artiodactyla; Camelidae.
AUCCCGGUCCGACUCUGACCUUUGCUCCCAGUCUCAACAAAACAUCCCUGACAUUGAGUACGAGCAGUUCAUUGCAGGCCUCUGAAUCCUCAGUCCAGGGAAGCUAAACCAUUCUAGCCUUCAUCGGUUCUGGGAAAGCAAUCUUCAGAGUGGGAAAAGACAUUGAAAAAUAAUAUUCUGUGAGUUGCAUUCUACCCUUGCCCAGAGAUGAGAAACAUCUGAAGGUGGAGGAAAACAGUUGGAGGGUUCACUUGGUGAUAAUAAUCAUAACCAAAGCAACAGCAAACCCUUACAGAACUCUGUCCUGCUGUUCCAGGAACGCUGUGUUCAUGACAACCCAAUGAGUUGGCACCACUAUGAGUUCCACUUUAAAGUGCCUGCCACCCUGGCCUCCCUGCUCAUCUGCCUCAGUCAGGAGCACCUGGACCACCAGCUCUGUAUUGCCUCGCCUCCUACCAUCAAGACGUCAAAGUUCAUUCUCCUUCCACCACCCAGUAUGGUCAUUGUAGGGUUCUUCUGUCAGCCUGAGCCAGCCCCACCCAUUCACCCUACCCCCGGGCUAUACCGGGCGUGUCUCCCCCAAGUCCAGCCUCUCUCCUUUAAGUGCCCACCACUUAGCCGUCCAGUCUUCUCCACCAGCCUCCCUGGCCCUCCUUCACCCUCACUGGGGAUCAUGCGACUGCUCUGCUUCCUGCCUGUCCACGUUCCUCUUACUUCCACUUCCCCACCUUCCAGCUCUGCAUCCACAGUCAGCACUCUCUUUAUGACAGACAAAACCCCCUUGAGCCUUGACCUUUUCAGUUCCUCACCAGGCCGACUUCCAUCUCGGUUCACCCAGCUCUACUUGUUCUGAGCCUGCAGGCAGCAGGCUCUCCCAGCACAGUCCAAGACUACAAAUCAAUGCCCACCAUGUUGCCGCUGCCAGGCAAUCCUCCAGGAUUCUCUAGUGAGCACAUUUCCCCACUUAUCACUCAGUGGGUGUAACAUUCUCUGCUCUCUGCACACCUCUAACCUUCCCUCUGUCUCUUCCCUGUCCCAGCAGAUGGCCUUGCCUCCUGCUCAGAGAGAAUGACAUGUCACUGGAAAGGAACUCGCUCACCUGCAGCAAACCCUGCACCUCACUUUUAUCUGUCCUCUCCC